GACGAACGCUGGCGGCGUGCUUAAUACAUGCAAGUCGAGCGGUAAAGCCCUGUUCUUGUGCCGUGUGCGAGUGGCGAACGGGUGAGUGUCACGUGAGUAACAUCUCCCUGAGUGCGGGAUACCUCCUUUAGACUCGGAUGCAUAUCGCACAUGAGAACUUUAAACACAGUUUUGAAGGUUGAAUGAUGCCAUUUCGGCGGUUAAGGAUGGACUCGCGGCGUAUUAGCUGGUUGGUGGGGUACUGGCUUACCAAGGCGUUGAUGGGUAGCCGGCCUGAGAGGGUGACCGGCCACAUUGGGACUGAGAUACGGCCCAGACUCCUACGGGAGGCAGCAGUGGGGAAUAUUGCACAAUGGGCGGAAGCCUGAUGCAGCAACGCCGCGUGCGGGAUGACGGCCUUCGGGUUGUAAACCGCUUUCGCCUGUGACGAAGCGUGAGUGACGGUAAUGGGUAAAGAAGCACCGGCUAACUACGUG
This 476-nucleotide ribosomal RNA is filed under the name uncultured bacterium. Its description in RNAcentral is "partial 16S ribosomal RNA". It matches the Rfam family "Bacterial small subunit ribosomal RNA", at positions 28 to 507 of the family's 1533-position model. The record is from RNAcentral.